UCGAAGAUUAAGCCAUGCAUGUGUAAGUAUAAAUAGUUAACUUUGAAACUGCGAAUGGCUCAUUAUAUCAGUUAUAGUUUAUUUGAUGAAGAAUACUAAUUGGAUAACCGUAGUAAUUCUAGAGCUAAUACAUGUAUAAAGUCUUGUAGACUGCAUUUAUUAGAAUGAAAACCAUAGGUUUCGGCCUAUUCGUGAGUAAUAAUAACUAAUCAUAUCGUAUGCUUAUGUAACGAUGUGUCUUUCAAGUUUCUGCCCUAUCAGCUUUCGAUGGUAGUGUAUUG
Molecule: ribosomal RNA, 281 nt
Filed under: Blastocystis sp.
Lineage: Eukaryota; Bigyra; Opalinata; Blastocystidae
Description: partial small subunit ribosomal RNA
Rfam family: Eukaryotic small subunit ribosomal RNA
Source: RNAcentral